RNA transcript from Arabidopsis thaliana (thale cress), 213 nucleotides. RefSeq lists it as uncharacterized. NCBI's taxonomy places the organism in Eukaryota, Viridiplantae, Streptophyta, Magnoliopsida, Brassicales, Brassicaceae. The transcript has 2 exons. The record is from RefSeq.
CAGCAUAAGACUUUAUUGCAUAACAAUUUCAGGUUUAAGUGUACUAGAGAAGAUAAGCUUACAUUACAAGUUCAUCAGUUGGAAACAAUAUAUGGGCUUGAGCUUUAAAGAAGGCCCAUUAAGCUUGAAAUUGUUCUUCAUGUACAUAUAAAUCAAUAGUUGAGAAAAAGUGGAAAACAAUAGAGAUAAAAAAAAUUAGAUGUAAAUUCGCUG